This is a long non-coding RNA of Passer domesticus (house sparrow), 1529 nucleotides long. RefSeq lists it as uncharacterized. The record is from RefSeq and is a predicted model, not a curated record. The transcript is spliced from 4 exons. NCBI's taxonomy places the organism in Eukaryota, Metazoa, Chordata, Aves, Passeriformes, Passeridae.
UUCUUGUGAUACAAGCCUCUUAGGUGAGCUGCCUGCUCUCUCAUGGCAUUGAGAAAUAGAAUGCCACAGCUCAAUGAAACGCAAGGUAAGGCCAUAAUGAGCACACAAACACAUAAGCAAGCAACGAAAUGGCUUUAGACUGCAGAGAAAUGUUGCCCAUUUAACCAUAUUAAUGUUUUUACUCUCUCACACACACAAAACAUUUGGUGCCUGAGUAGUAUUUCUAUUUGCCUGAGAGGGGAAAAGAAUGAAAAGUCAAAGGACAGGUUACUAGGAGGGGAUGCAUAAAAUAUUUCUGAUUCAACUGUGAUGAAGUCAGCUGAAGACAAAAUGCCUACAGGUUUUCACAAUUGCCCAGGACCUUAUGACUGUGGUACACAGAAACAGAAUAUAGCCUUUCCAUAUACAAACUUACAAAAAUUACAUGCCUGAAAAUAACUUUUAGCUGUUAUAAAAACCAGAACAAGUCACAAAGAAAUGGAUGAGAAUAUCUAAUCUUGUAAUAGUCCCUUGAAGUCCACGGAGGAUGCAGUAAUUUGUAGACUCUUGCUUCCUACUUAUCAAAAUCAACUGUCACACCUUACACUGACACCAUGGGUUGGGAAUACAUGAUGCAAUGUAACAAUGGCUCAUGAUGACGAGCAUGCAGAAUUAACCUGUUCCCUGUAUUACAGCUGACCCACCCAGCUAUGACUCACUGGUAAAGGAUGGAACUUUUUGUCCUGAGGCAAAAGGGCACAGCGGCUGUGUCUCCCAGACACAGUGCCAAUGCUUUCAUGACAUCUUCAAGUGCACUCAAGAUAAGACUGAUCCAAGAGCAGGUUUUUUGUACCACAGGGAUUUUUGGCACGACAGACAAGUAGAAGGCUUGCAGACAAAUAAGACAGAUCAAAACCCCUGUGGCUUUCACUUUCAUACUCUGGGCUGAGGUCUCAAACGUAAAUGAAACUGGGGCAAAUUACCCAAUCAUUUGUUUGUUCACUUUUGUCGGUAUCUGAAACAGAUCAUGCUCCUGAACAAGGUUGUCCUGGUUUAGGGCAAAGUUGGGAGGAAGUUUGGGGUGAAAUUAUGAUGGAUACUGCAGCUGUUCCCACUGUUUCAUCCUUGAUGUCCAGAUUGGUAUCACUAACCUUAACACAAACAACCAACUGCUUAUACUUGUGUUCCUGGCAAGACUCUGCUCUUACAAAUGUACACAAGGCCACAACAGACACUGGUGGUUGCCAAGACCUGUUGAUUCCAGGAGUAGUCACUCUCUGGGUCAACAUGAAAACUGAACUGAAGAGAACUCCUGAGUAAAACAGAAGUCACUACCUGAAAAGACCAUGACGCUAGGAGCUCUAGGAGAGAUUCCUUGCCAUCCUCCUUGGCCUGUGGCUCCACAAUUAUCAAAAUAUGGUGGCCAGAUGGUUUUGUUUUCCAGGAGCAGGGCCCCAAGCUACAGCCAGGAAACUACAGGCUGAUUGGCAUCACCUCAGUCCCUGGGAAGGUGAUGGAUCAACUAUCCUGGAAAAAAUUUCUAAACAAAC